AAGGCCAGUGCUUGCACUGGUACUCGAGUGGCGAACGGGUGAGUAACACGUGGGUGAUCUGCCCUCAACUCCGGGAUAAGCCUGGGAAACUGGGUCUAAUACUGGAUAGGACCACAUCGUAGGUGGUGUGGUGGAAAGCGUUUGUAGCGGUUGGGGAUGAGCUCGCGGCCUAUCAGCUUGUUGGUGGGGUAAUGGCCUACCAAGGCGGCGACGGGUAGCCGGCCUGAGAGGGUGUACGGUCACAUUGGGACUGAGAUACGGCCCAGACUCCUACGGGAGGCAGCAGUGGGGAAUAUUGCACAAUGGGCGCAAGCCUGAUGCAGCGACGCCGCGUGGGGGAUGACGGCCUUCGGGUUGUAAACCUCUUUCGACCGUGACGAAGCCUUUGGUGACGGUAGCGGUAGAAGAAGCACCGGCUAACUACGUGCCAGCAGCCGCGGUAAUACGUAGGGUGCGAGCGUUGUCCGGAUUUACUGGGCGUAAAGGGCUCGUAGGUGGUUUGUCGCGUCGUCUGUGAAAUUCCGGGGCUCAACUCCGGGCGUGCAGGCGAUACGGGCAUAACUUGAGUACUGCAGGGGUAACUGGAAUUCCUGGUGUAGCGGUGGAAUGCGCAGAUAUCAGGAGGAACACCGAUGGCGAAGGCAG
This 645-nucleotide ribosomal RNA is filed under the name uncultured Actinomycetes bacterium. RNAcentral describes it as "bacterial SSU rRNA". It matches the Rfam family "Bacterial small subunit ribosomal RNA", at positions 69 to 724 of the family's 1533-position model. The record is from RNAcentral. Lineage: Bacteria; Bacillati; Actinomycetota; Actinomycetes.